This 450-nucleotide ribosomal RNA is filed under the name uncultured bacterium. Its description in RNAcentral is "partial 16S ribosomal RNA". It matches the Rfam family "Bacterial small subunit ribosomal RNA", at positions 354 to 796 of the family's 1533-position model. The record is from RNAcentral.
GUGGGGAAUUUUGGACAAUGGGCGCAAGCCUGAUCCAGCAAUGCCGCGUGUGUGAAGAAGGCCUUCGGGUUGUAAAGCACUUUUGGCAGGAAAGAAAUAGUGCGUGCUAAUACCAUGCGCGAAUGACGGUACCUGCAGAAUAAGCACCGGCUAACUACGUGCCAGCAGCCGCGGUAAGACGUAGGGUGCAAGCGUUAAUCGGAAUUACUGGGCGUAAAGCGUGCGCAGGCGGUUUUGUAAGACAGGUGUGAAAUCCCCGGGCUCAACCUGGGAACUGCACUUGUGACUGCAAGGCUAGAGUGUGUCAGAGGGAGGUGGGAUUCCGAGUGUAGCAGUGAAAUGCGUAGAGAUGCGGAGGAACACCGAUGGCGAAGGCAGCCUCCUGGGAUAACACUGACGCUCAGGCACGAAAGCGUGGGGAGCAAACAGGAUUAGAUACCCCAGUAGUCC